Molecule: ribosomal RNA, 497 nt
Filed under: uncultured bacterium
Lineage: Bacteria
Description: partial 16S ribosomal RNA
Rfam family: Bacterial small subunit ribosomal RNA
Source: RNAcentral
GAUGAACGCUGGCGGCGUGCCUAAUACAUGCAAGUCGAGCGAACAGACGAGGAGCUUGCUCCUCUGACGUUAGCGGCGGACGGGUGAGUAACACGUGGAUAACCUACCUAUAAGACUGGGAUAACUUCGGGAAACCGGAGCUAAUACCGGAUAAUAUAUUGAACCGCAUGGUUCAAUAGUGAAAGACGGUUUUGCUGUCACUUAUAGAUGGAUCCGCGCCGCAUUAGCUAGUUGGUAAGGUAACGGCUUACCAAGGCAACGAUGCGUAGCCGACCUGAGAGGGUGAGCGGCCACACUGGAACUGAGACACGGUCCAGACUCCUACGGGAGGCAGCAGUAGGGAAUCUUCCGCAAUGGGCGAAAGCUUGACGGAGCAACGCCGCGUGAGUGAUGAAGGUCUUCGGAUCGUAAAACUCUGUCAUUAGGGAAGAACAAAUGUGUAAGUAACUAUGCACGUCUUGACGGUACCUAAUCAGAAAGCCACGGCUAACUACGUG